Syngnathus typhle (broad-nosed pipefish) is the source of this 191-nucleotide long non-coding RNA. RefSeq lists it as uncharacterized. Lineage: Eukaryota; Metazoa; Chordata; Actinopteri; Syngnathiformes; Syngnathidae. The transcript is spliced from 2 exons. The record is from RefSeq and is a predicted model, not a curated record.
CGGAGAGCGACACAGCACAGGAUAAAGGACGUGAAUACAGGCGGGCCAGAGAACCCGUCGAUGAGGUCAAAGCCGCAGAUUUGGAAAGACUUCCACCAUUCAGACUUGCCAGUUUACAUCAUUGUGGGGAAAAAAAAUAUGACCAUGACAACCAUGGUUGGGGAAAUAAAGGCAGACUCAUUUCAACUUUU